Gadus macrocephalus (Pacific cod) is the source of this 3555-nucleotide RNA transcript. It is a transcript of the gene named transmembrane protein 116-like, with no coding region annotated. The record is from RefSeq and is a predicted model, not a curated record. Lineage: Eukaryota; Metazoa; Chordata; Actinopteri; Gadiformes; Gadidae. The transcript is spliced from 4 exons.
CCUACCCUCACAUCCUACCCUCACCUCCAAUCAGGUCACACUCUAUUCUCACAUCCUACCCCCUCACAUCCUACCCUCACAUCCUACCCCUCACAUCCUCCCCUCACAUCCUACCCCCUCACACCCUAACCUCACACCCUAACCUCACACCCUACCCUCACACCCUACCCUCACAUCCUACUCUCUCACAUCCUGCCCCCUCACAUCCUACCCUCUCACAUCCCGCCUCCUCACACCCUACCCUCUCACACCCUACCCUCACAUCCUACCCCCUCACAUCCUACCCUCACAUCCUACCCUCUCACAUCCUACCCCCUCACAUCCUCCUGUCUCCAUCUCACCAACCUUGAUCCAGAAAUGAGAGAGAAAACAUGAUCCUGUGUUUUCCGCCGGACCUCCUCACAUGAAGCACCCGUUGGUUAAUAUCUCGUGUGUUUUGUGUUCCAGGAGGCCAGCAGCGUGCUGACACCUAAAAUCCUCGCUGUAGUUGCAGGGUCAGUAUCUUGUGUUAUUCAAGUAUUGUGUAAACCCUGUACAUGAAGUAUAUGUCAUCGCCCGUACAUGGAGUAUCUCCUACACCCUGCACGGCUGUCUCUGUUUGCAGGCUCCUCCCCUGGCUGCUCAUGUCUCCAGCGUUGAUCGAGGCUAACCUCCUCCGCUGCUACGCUAACUGUAGCCAACCCUACAGGUGUCUCCUGAUGCAGACGGGGCCCCUGUGCCUGGGCGGCGAGCAGGGCGACUGCUGGCUGCUCCACGCCUACCGCGACCUCAUCUUCCUCCUCACCUUCCUCAUCACCCUCGUCGGCAUCACGGUGCGUUGUCCCGACGACCCUCACACCAACUAACCCGACGACACUGGAGGGGAUGCUGAAGUUGACCUGACGGUUGGCGGUUCAGUGUCGGCUCCCGUGGAGGGUUAGCGUCCAUCCAGAACCACACCUCUGCGGGGAUUCAGGCCAACGUGCACAUGGGUUUGGCGCCAUUGUUGUGGUUUCCAGUAGUUCCCUUUUCAUAGUCAGUAAACCAGCGUUGGAGCAGGCGAAGUUCCGCCUUCCGCAAGUGUGAAGCCAGCAGAGAGAGAGCUCUCCCUCUCGUCAGGAAGCAGUCAACCCCGGGCGUUGUACAGGGAGUUUCCCCGGUUUAACCACUCUAUACAUUUGAGUCAAGAAAAGCCCAGACAUGGAAAAUCCUUUGUAUUCAAAGACGAAGUGAUCAGGGGGUUCCCUUACCACAGGAGUCUUUAAAAAGGGAACUGUUUUGGAUCUAUUCAAAUCCUGAUAUUUGUAGUACAUUAAUCCUUCCUAUAUAGUUUAUAUUUUGAUGUGGUCAUCUUCAGAAUCAACCGGGAAUAGAACCACUAACCGGACUAAUCAGCAGAUCGACAGGUUGUUGGUAGUUUGAUGGCCUCGUCAUGCCUCCGUCAGUAUUGAUCGGUACCAUUUCCUGCCUCAGUAUUGAUCGGGACCAUUUCCUGCCUCAGUAUUGAUCGGGACCAUUUCCUGCCUCAGUAUUGAUCGGUACCAUCUCCCGCCUCAGUAUUGACCCGUACCAUCUCCCGCCUCAGUAUUGAUCGGUACCUUCUCCCGCCUCUGUAUUGAUCGGUACCAUCUCCCGCCUCAGGUGCUGAUGGAGAAAGCCCGGCGCAUUCACAGACGGGUCGUGACCUCCGGGGGUUUCCUAGGCGACAGGCAGUGGGCCAAUCUGAGGAUGCUGGACCGACGCAUGCUGCUCUACCCCGCUGUGUUCAUCUUCUGCUGGGGUCCAGGUACCUGGCCUCUGACCCUGGAUCACCUGGUUACUAGUUAGUACUGACCCUAGAUCACCUGGUUACUAGUUAGUACUGACCCUAGAUCACCUGGUUACUAGUUAGUACCGACCCUAGAUCACCUGGUUACUAGUUAGUACUGACCCUAGAUCACCUGGUUACUAGUUAGUACUGACCCUAGAUCACCUGGUUACUAGUUAGUACUGAACCUAAAUCACCUGGUUACUAGUUAGUACUGACCCUGGAUCACCUGGUUACUAGUUAAUACUGACCCUGGAUCACCUGGUUACUAGUUAGUACUGACCCUGGAUCACCUGGUUACUAGUUAGUACUGACCCUGGAUCCCCUGGUUACUAGUUAGUAGUGACCCUAGAUAACCUGUUUACCACUAACCUCAGAUCACCCGGUUACCACUGACCUUAGAUCACCUGGUUACCACUGACCCUAGAUCACCUGGUUACCACUGACCCUAGAUCACCUGGUUACCACUGACCCUAGAUCACCUGGUUACCACUGACCCUAGAUCACCUGGUUACCACUGACCCUUACCCAUCAUCAUCGAGGCUCUUUGAUUGCACUAAGCGGGGUCAGUGUGUAGCUGCAGGCCCUUUUGUGCGUCAGGCCGGCUGAGUGCUGACCGUGUGGGCGUGGCUCUGGUCCUCAGCCGUGUGUGUGACCGCCCUGAGCUGGAUCCGGCCCGCGGCCCUGCAGGGUGCCCUGGCCGCCGCGCUCUACCUCCUCCAGGUAUUAAACAUCACCAACCAUGGAGCAUAUUAUACACACACCGACACACACCGACACACACACACACACACACACACACACACACACACACACACACACACACACACACACACACACACACACACACACACACACACACACACACACACAUGCACACUCACACAUACAUACAUAUAUACAACAAAACUCUUACUAAUAUUAUAUAGAUUGAUGGGAUUGUGUCUAAAGUAACGACUAACGAUGGGAGUGCUGCGCUAAAGGGCCUUAUCUGACCCCCUGAUGCUGAUUAGCUGUUACACGCCUUCUGUCACAAGCCUUCUGUUACAAGCCUUCUGUUACAAGCCUUCUGUUACAAGCCUUCUGUUACAAGCCUUCUGUCACAAGCCUUCUGUCACAAGCCUUCUGUUACAAGCCUUCUGUCACAAGCCUUCUGUCACAAGCCUUCUGUCACAAGCCUUCUGUUACAAGCCUUCUGUUACAAGCCUUCUGUCACAAGCCUUCUGUCACAAGCCUUCUGUUACAAGCCAGAUAGACGGACAGACGGAUAGAUGGAUAGAUAGAUGGACACUUGAUUCAUCCCCUUGGGGAAAUCCAGGUAUCCAUUAGCUCACGAAGUCGGUCAACAGACGGUACAACCGACACACAACAAAAUGGACAAACAGUAAAAGCCAAUCAAACAACUCGUUAAAAACUCUGCAAUAUUGCACAUAAUUGAAAUGUCACCUAGAAUAUAGCGGGAGGAAGGCGUUAGCCGGAGGAAGGCGUUAGCCGGAGGUAGGCGUUAGCCGGAGGUAGGCGUUAGCCGGAGGUAGGCGUUAGCCGGAGGUAGGCGUUAGCCGGAGGUAGGCGUUAGCCGGCGCGUUGGCCUUGGUUCCCCCCUGAGUGUCCCCGUGCCUCUGGCCAGGCGCUGGCGUCCGGGUCCCAGGGCGCCCUCAACAGCCUGGCGUACGGCUGGACGCGCUCCCGGUUCCGCGAGGCCGGGCCGAGGCGGUCGGAGCUGCAGGACGCCACCACCCAGACGCCCCUCCUCCGCGCCCAUAGGCCCG